UUCUUCAUCCUUGUUCUCCAGGUGGACGCCUGAUUGCUAUUUUCUUUUCUUCAUCCUUGUUCUCCAGGUGGACGCCUGAUUGCUAUUUCCUUUCUUCAUCCUUGUUCUCCAGGUGGACGCCUGAUUUCUAUUUCCUUUCUUCAUCCUUGUUCUCCAGGUGGACGCCUGAUUGCUAUUUUCUUUUCUUCAUCCUUGUUCUCCAGGUGGACGCCUGAUUGCUAAUUCUUUUCUUCAUCCUUGUUCUCCAGGUGGACGCCUGAUUGCUAUUUCUUUUCUUCAUCCUUGUUCUCCAGGUGGACGCCUGAUUGCUUUUUCCUUCACCGGGUGUUUCUGACACAAAUGUUGUUUUUGCCCCUGUUUAAAUCAAAGAAAAUUUCGUCAGUUUAAAGCAGGGUGGUCAGUUGUGGCAUUCUUGCUGAGGGUGGGGUUUCUCUUUGUCUUGUUUUACUGCCUUGGAGCGAUUGAAAAGACAGUUUUGUCUUUGUAAUUGAUCCUUAACCAUAGGAUCCUCAACUGUUGUUUUCACUUCAAACCCUUUCAAUUGUAAUCAUAUGUCUCUCCUGACAUUGCUGAACCACUUUCUGAUUCAACUUUUCUUGCAUCCAUAUCUUAUUUUUAACCUAUUACUUCCUGCCCAUCAUGGCCGCAUUUUUCCCUAUGCAAUCUUGAAUCUUGGUAGUAUACCUUGAUAUUCCUUCUUAUUUGUUUGGAACAAAACUUACCUC
Molecule: long non-coding RNA, 725 nt
Filed under: Nicotiana tabacum (common tobacco)
Lineage: Eukaryota; Viridiplantae; Streptophyta; Magnoliopsida; Solanales; Solanaceae
Description: long non-coding RNA (NTAB_LNC008254)
Source: RNAcentral